RNAcentral lists this long non-coding RNA (314 nucleotides) under Hordeum vulgare. RNAcentral describes it as "long non-coding RNA (HVUL_LNC001337)". The record is from RNAcentral. Lineage: Eukaryota; Viridiplantae; Streptophyta; Magnoliopsida; Poales; Poaceae.
UCGAGCGCGCGCGCGACGGAGGGCCCGUCGUCGGCCCCCGCGGCGUCGCAGCAGAGGCGCAGGAACUCGGCGUGGGUGACGGUGCCCUCGCGGGAGGCCCGCACCCGCGCGCGCGCCGCCUCCAUCUGCGUGGCGCGCAGCACCUUCCGGGCCUCCUCCACCGUGAGGCUGGCCACGACCGUCGCGGCCUCCCUGGGAGUGGGAGGAUGCGGGCGGGGCGGGGCGGGCGGCACGAGGCCGUCGAGGUUGAUGCGCGGGAAGGAGACGCCGAGGUGGUCGCGGAUCCGGUCGGCCAGGGGCAUGAAUCCCACGUC